GCCGGGUGCAGUGGCAGGCACCUGUAAUCCCAGCUACACGGGAGGCUGAGGCAGGAGAAUCGCUUGAACUCGGGCAGCAGGGGUUGCAGUGAGCCGAGAUCGCCCCACUGCACCUCCAGCCUGGGCUAUAAAGUGAGACUCUGUCUCAA
Molecule: small RNA, 149 nt
Filed under: Macaca mulatta (Rhesus monkey)
Lineage: Eukaryota; Metazoa; Chordata; Mammalia; Primates; Cercopithecidae
Description: Metazoan signal recognition particle RNA (ENSMMUG00000050568.1)
Source: RNAcentral